UGGGGAAUAUUGCACAAUGGACGAAAGUCUGAUGCAGCAACGCCGCGUGGAGGAUGACACAUUUCGGUGCGUAAACUCCUUUUAUAUAGGAAGAUAAUGACGGUACUAUAUGAAUAAGCACCGGCUAACUCCGUGCCAGCAGCCGCGGUAAUACGGAGGGUGCAAGCGUUACUCGGAAUCACUGGGCGUAAAGAGCGUGUAGGCGGGUAUAUAAGUCAGAAGUGAAAUCCUAUAGCUUAACUAUAGAACUGCUUUUGAAACUGUAUACCUAGAAUGUGGGAGAGGUAGAUGGAAUUUCUGGUGUAGGGGUAAAAUCCGUAGAGAUCAGAAGGAAUACCGAUUGCGAAGGCGAUCUACUGGAACAUUAUUGACGCUGAGACGCGAAAGCGUGGGGAGCAAA
This 400-nucleotide ribosomal RNA is filed under the name uncultured bacterium. RNAcentral's name for it is "bacterial SSU rRNA". It matches the Rfam family "Bacterial small subunit ribosomal RNA", at positions 355 to 772 of the family's 1533-position model. The record is from RNAcentral.